GAUAUUUCUCAAGCUUUAUUUUUUUCUUACUGUUAAUUUUUUUUAAAAAGAUUUUUAUUUAUUUAUUUGAGAGAGAAAAAGCAUAAGUGGGGGGAGGGUUAGAGGGAGAAGCAGACUUCCUGCUGAGUGCGGAGCCCCAGGAAGAAGCUCCAUCCCAGGACCCCGGGAUCAUGACCUGAGCCAAAGUCAGACACUUUAACCGACUGAGCCACCCAGGCACCCGAUGAUUCUGAAACUUUAACUUCAUCAGAAUCAGCAGGACGGCUGGAAGAGCUCACAGUCUAGAGAUGCGGAUUUGACAAGACCAGAGUCUUUUGCUGUUCCCUCAACUAGAAAUCGCUUCCCUCCUAAUUCAUCAUUCAGAUGUCAGCUGCAGUGCCAUUGCCUCCCCUGGGAGGCCCUCCCUGACUACCCAGGCAAGGUCAAGCCCCACAGUCGUAAACAUGUCUUACAUUAUAGUUCUUGUCCUUCCCUUUCAAAUGACCGUCCACCCCAUCACAGCACAGUCACAGUCAUCAUCACAGCACAUCAUAGUCACUGCUGUAUCCUCUGCACCUGGCUGUCAUGCCUGGCACCUAGUACAUGCUCAAUAAAGUUUUGUGACCAAGUCAACUUAGGUGAAGUCACUCAAGUUUUAUUUGGAAGCAAAUUGGAAUCAGGAGAAGACUUGGUUAGCAUCAUCAUGUUAAUCCUUAGGCAAUGCUAUCCUCAAGCUCCACAGACCUUGGGCAAGUCCUUUCCCCUCACUGGGUCUUAGUCUCCUCUAAAAGAUGAGAUGAUUGGGUUUCUAAUAGUGGCAGUUAGAUUUUAGCUUUAGUGCCGAGUCUGGUGUGUUAACCCGACCAUAGGGUCGAGAAGAAUUCUGAAGCUGAGUAUGAGCUCAGUAGGAAAAUGUCUCUGAUCAAUUAAGGUGGUCUGCAGUGGCUAAGACAGGUCGCAGUAGUCUGCAGGCCAGGUUUUAGCAUCCUUGGAAUGUAAUUCUUAAGGUGUUGGGGGGUGGGGUCAGUGUUUAAACCCUUGAUCUGCUAAAAUUUAAGGCCAGUAUUGCAAACACAGCUUUGUGCAGGGGCAGGUGGAGAGCUGGUUGUAACUUCAGAUCCAAGGCUGGCGGUCGAGCCCUGGCCUCUCUCAGCUCUGCUCACUGCUCCUUGUGGGAACGGGCUCAAGUGGCCAAACUAUAGGACUUCUCAAAAGGAGCGGAAUUCCUUGAUUUUGUAAUCGAAUAGAGUGAGGCUCUGGCAUUUCCCUUGGGACCCAUUUGCUUCCCCUUCCUGCACCUCCCAGUGAGGAUAGCUGGAGACUUCUAGAGGAAUACCCACACAUCCCCUCUGCAGGGGUACCUCCUCUUUUCCAAGGCAUAGCCUUUGUGUUUCAGAAGAUGGAAACGUGUGACUUCACGUCCCUCCCCAGCUCCCCUUGAAAUCCCUCAGACUCAGC
Molecule: long non-coding RNA, 1437 nt
Filed under: Mustela putorius furo (domestic ferret)
Lineage: Eukaryota; Metazoa; Chordata; Mammalia; Carnivora; Mustelidae
Description: lncRNA (ENSMPUG00000024457.1)
Source: RNAcentral